UGGAUAUUUUAGGUUUUUUUAUAGGCUCCAAAGUUCUAACUGCUUUUUCACUCUGUGCUUUGUGGCACUGCUGGGAGAUGUUCCUGCCAAAGCUGCCAAGGGUCUGAUGGAAGGGGGCCUGGCCCGGGAAGGCUCCCCGAAGUUGCUCUGAGCGAUCCUGGAUGCUGCAUGGCUUCAGUCCCUGAGGCCUCCCUGGCCACUAAGAGGAAACAAACCACUGCCAGAGCACAGCCCCACCCUGCAGCUUCCAGAACCCUUGGCUCCGGGACUUUCUCCGGCUCUCCUCUUUGCAUUGUCAAAACGGA
This 305-nucleotide long non-coding RNA is filed under the name Bos grunniens (domestic yak). Its description in RNAcentral is "lncRNA (ENSBGRG00000000403.1)". The record is from RNAcentral. Lineage: Eukaryota; Metazoa; Chordata; Mammalia; Artiodactyla; Bovidae.